This 21-nucleotide microRNA is filed under the name Echinococcus granulosus. RNAcentral describes it as "egr-miR-10250-3p". Lineage: Eukaryota; Metazoa; Platyhelminthes; Cestoda; Cyclophyllidea; Taeniidae. The record is from miRBase by way of RNAcentral.
UCUAAAAUUGGCGGGUCAAAG